GACGAACGCUGGCGGCGUGCCUAAUACAUGCCAGUCGAACGCUGAAGGAGGAGCUUGCUUCUCCGGAUGAGUUGCGAACGGGUGAGUAACGCGUAGGUAACCUGCCUGGUAGCGGGGGAUAACUAUUGGAAACGAUAGCUAAUACCGCAUAAGAGUAGAUGUCGCAUGACAUUUGCUUAAAAGGUGCAACUGCACCACUACCAGAUGGACCUGCGUUGUAUUAGCUAGUUGGUGAGGUAACGGCUCACCACGGCAACGAUACAUAGCCGACCUGAGAGGGGGAGCGGCCACACUGGGACUGAGACAAGGCCCAGACUCCUACGGGAGGCAGCAGUAGGGAAUCUUCGGCAAUGGACGGAAGUCUGAUCGAGCAACGCCGCGGGAGGGAAGAAGGGUUUCGGAUCGUAAAGAUCUGUUGUAAGAGAAGAACGAGUGUGGGAGUGGAAAGUUCACACUGUGACGGUAUCUUACCAGAAAGGGACGGCUAACUACGUG
This 495-nucleotide ribosomal RNA is filed under the name uncultured bacterium. Its description in RNAcentral is "partial 16S ribosomal RNA". It matches the Rfam family "Bacterial small subunit ribosomal RNA", at positions 28 to 507 of the family's 1533-position model. The record is from RNAcentral.